RNAcentral lists this ribosomal RNA (522 nucleotides) under uncultured bacterium. Its description in RNAcentral is "bacterial SSU rRNA". It matches the Rfam family "Bacterial small subunit ribosomal RNA", at positions 15 to 524 of the family's 1533-position model. The record is from RNAcentral.
GAUCCUGGCUCAGAGUGAACGCUGGCGGUAGGCCUAACACAUGCAAGUCGAACGGCAGCACAGUAAGAGCUUGCUCUUAUGGGUGGCGAGUGGCGGACGGGUGAGGAAUACAUCGGAAUCUACCUUUUCGUGGGGGAUAACGUAGGGAAACUUACGCUAAUACCGCAUACGACCUUCGGGUGAAAGCAGGGGACCUUCGGGCCUUGCGCGGAUAGAUGAGCCGAUGUCGGAUUAGCUAGUUGGCGGGGUAAAGGCCCACCAAGGCGACGAUCCGUAGCUGGUCUGAGAGGAUGAUCAGCCACACUGGAACUGAGACACGGUCCAGACUCCUACGGGAGGCAGCAGUGGGGAAUAUUGGACAAUGGGCGCAAGCCUGAUCCAGCCAUACCGCGUGGGUGAAGAAGGCCUUCGGGUUGUAAAGCCCUUUUGUUGGGAAAGAAAAGCAGUCGAUUAAUACUCGGUUGUUCUGACGGUACCCAAAGAAUAAGCACCGGCUAACUUCGUGCCAGCAGCCGCGGUAAU